RNAcentral lists this ribosomal RNA (492 nucleotides) under uncultured bacterium. Its description in RNAcentral is "partial 16S ribosomal RNA". It matches the Rfam family "Bacterial small subunit ribosomal RNA", at positions 29 to 507 of the family's 1533-position model. The record is from RNAcentral.
AGUGAACGCUGGCGGUAGGCCUAACACAUGCAAGUCGAACGGCAGCACAGUAAGAGCUUGCUCUUACGGGUGGCGAGUGGCGGACGGGUGAGGAAUACAUCGGAAUCUACUUUUUCGUGGGGGAUAACGUAGGGAAACUUACGCUAAUACCGCAUACGACCUACGGGUGAAAGCAGGGGAUCUUCGGACCUUGCGCGAUUGAAUGAGCCGAUGUCGGAUUAGCUAGUUGGCGGGGUAAAGGCCCACCAAGGCGACGAUCCGUAGCUGGUCUGAGAGGCUGAUCAGCCACACUGGAACUGGGCCACGGUCCAGACUCCUACGGGAGGCAGCAGUGGGGAAUAUUGGACAAUGGGCGCAAGCCUGAUCCAGCCAUACCGCGUGGGUGAAGAAGGCCUUCGGGUUGUAAAGCCCUUUUGUUGGGAAAGAAAAGCAGCAGGUUAAUACCCCGCUGUUCUGACGGUACCCAAAGAAUAAGCACCGGCUAACUUCGUG